CCUACGGGUGGCAGCAGUGAGGAAUAUUGGUCAAUGGACGAGAGUCUGAACCAGCCAAGUAGCGUGAAGGAUGACUGCCCUAUGGGUUGUAAACUUCUUUUAUAUGGGAAUAAAAUGUUCCACGUGUGGGAUUUUGUAUGUACCCUAUGAAUAAGGCUCGGCUAACUCCGUGCCAGCAGCCGCGGUAAUCCGGAGGAUCCGAGCGUUAUCCGGAUUUAUUGGGUGUAAAGGGAGCGUAGGUGGAUGGUUAGGUCAGUUGUGAAAGUUUGCGGCUCAACCGUAAAAGUGCAGUUGAAACUGGCAGGCUGGAGUACAGUAGAGGUGAGCGGAAUUCGUGGUGUAGCGGUGAAAUGCUUAGAUAUCACGAAGAACUCCGAUUGCGAAGGCAGUUCACUGGACUGCAACUGACACUGAGGCUCGAAAGUGUGGGUAUCAAACAGGAUUAGAUACCCUAGUAGUC
Molecule: ribosomal RNA, 460 nt
Filed under: uncultured bacterium
Lineage: Bacteria
Description: partial 16S ribosomal RNA
Rfam family: Bacterial small subunit ribosomal RNA
Source: RNAcentral